Molecule: long non-coding RNA, 207 nt
Filed under: Ricinus communis (castor bean)
Lineage: Eukaryota; Viridiplantae; Streptophyta; Magnoliopsida; Malpighiales; Euphorbiaceae
Description: long non-coding RNA (RCOM_LNC003137)
Source: RNAcentral
GAAGAAGAGAAAGAAGAAGAAGAAGAAGAAGAAGAGAAAGAAGAAGAAAAAGAGAAGAAGAGGGAGGAAGCUCCGUUGGCUUCAAUGGUGGAUGGUGGAGGCUCGACCGAGGGUGGUGACGACGUCUGGAUGUGCGGUCGUCAACGACGAGCACGCUAGGGGCGACGACAGCAGUGAACGGCCAUGACAGGCGAUGGAAAAUGGCAA